RNAcentral lists this signal recognition particle RNA (171 nucleotides) under Ruminococcus sp. RNAcentral's name for it is "signal recognition particle sRNA large type". It matches the Rfam family "Bacterial large signal recognition particle RNA". From Rfam's summary of the family: The signal recognition particle (SRP) is a universally conserved ribonucleoprotein involved in the co-translational targeting of proteins to membranes. Archaeal SRP consists of a 7S RNA and homologues of the eukaryotic SRP19 and SRP54 proteins. In most bacteria, the SRP consists of a 4.5S RNA and the Ffh protein (a homologue of the eukaryotic SRP54 protein). The record is from RNAcentral. Lineage: Bacteria; Bacillati; Bacillota; Clostridia; Eubacteriales; Oscillospiraceae.
UAAUAUUAUUCGGAGCGUUGUUGCUCUUUAUUAUGAAAAAUUCCGGAAUAUAGAUGUGCGGGCCCUGUGCAACAAGACACCGUGAACCAUGUCAGGCGGGAGACCGAGCAGCAUUAAGCGGAUCGUCUUGUGUGCCGCAGCAAGCCUGCACAUCUAUGUUCCGGAUUUUUA